This 253-nucleotide ribosomal RNA is filed under the name uncultured bacterium. RNAcentral's name for it is "partial 16S ribosomal RNA". It matches the Rfam family "Bacterial small subunit ribosomal RNA", at positions 524 to 776 of the family's 1533-position model. The record is from RNAcentral.
UACGGAGGAGGCAAGCGUUAUACGGAAUUAUUGGGCGUAAAGCGUCCGCAGGUGGCUAAUUAAGUCUGAGGUUAAAGACUGGAGCUCAACUCCAGAAGAGCCGUGGAAACUGACAAGCUAGAGACCGGUAGGGGUAGAGGGAAUUCACAGUGUAGCGGUGAAAUGCUUAGAGAUUGGGAGGAACACCGGUGGCGAAAGCGCUCUGCUGGAACGGAACUGACGCUGAGGGUCGAAAUCUAGGGGAGCAAAUAGG